Long non-coding RNA from Numida meleagris (helmeted guineafowl), 2366 nucleotides. Ensembl annotates it as PHD finger protein 7-like. Lineage: Eukaryota; Metazoa; Chordata; Aves; Galliformes; Numididae. The record is from Ensembl.
AUGCGCAGGGCCCCCCAGCUGAUGUUGCCCUUCCCCAGGGCCAAGCUCUGCGCGCUGCCCUGUACCGCUUCUGCUGCCCACUCUGCCAGGACAUGCAGACCUUCCAGGCAGAGAUGUACCGCCUCGGCAUCAAAAUCCCUGACAGGGAUGCAGCCUGGGAAGAGGAUGGAGCCUUUGAAGACCUCUUGCAGAGGCACAGCUCCUGCGAUGCCAGCCUGUGCCUGUGCCCCCAGGGACGGGAGCAGUCGGAGGACGUGGGGUGAGUGGGCUCCGACCCCAAAGCCAUGGCGACCUGCUGCCUCCGUCCCCUCCUUCCAGCUGAGACAGACAUUGGCCAGGAUGCUGAGCUCAGCACGGCACAAGCUGUGCACUGCUAGCUCACUGCCAGCCACGGGGGUGGGAGUGGCACGGACCACCCCAGCGCUGGCACCCCACAGCCCUGGGGCCCCCGGUGACCGUGCGGUUCGGGUUCUUGCCGCUUUCCCAGGCCCUGGAGGCUGCUGCUCUGCAGCUCCUGCGGUUCCUCUGGGACCCACCAGCUCUGCUCCGCCAUCGGAGAAGACACCGAGAACUGGGAGUGCAGCGGCUGCAGUGGUGUGGGCACCGGUAAGAAACGCAGCACAGGGACAGGGUCCCCAUAGACGUGUGGCCAUAAGUCCUCGGGAGAUGUCCUCCCAGUUGGAGCCACGUUGGAUACAGAGAUGUGCACCUGCGCUCAUCUCCGUGCCCUUCGCAGCCCCUUCAGGAUCAGCCCCGGUGUAGUGAACCCUGCACAGCACCCCAGCUCCUGGCACUUCGGCUCCAGCACAUGAGGCUGCGACGCUCCAGGGACACCCCGACGCCCAGCUGCCUGCACAGCCCACAGGAAGCCCCUCGGCCACUCCAGCCUCCCAGCCGCUGAACAACAGCAAUGCAGGAUGUCCCUACUGAAGGGAGAAAACACCACGGGAGAGUUUGCUGAUGUGCCGGAGCUCUGCAGGGCGCAGCAUCCACACUGCCCUGACUCUCCUGCCUGCCCUUCGCUGCUGAGCUGCUGCUGCUUCGGCAAGAGUCAGUGGUGGGAGCCCAGCCCAGACGCCAGCAUCACCCCGUGGGGACGUGCUGAGAUCAGGGCUGGCAGCGGGGGAGCCAAGCGCAGCCCAGGGGUGGGGAAGGACCACGGAAGAUGCCACGGGCAACCGCUGGAAACCGAGGCUUUUGACAGUACAAGUUGUUUAUUUUGGCAUCAGAACUCCUGACUCCCUAAUGGAGCGCUGCAUGUAAUCCAGGGACAGGAGUUUGUGAAGUCAUGGGGUGAGUGGGCUCCGACCCCAAAGCCAUGGCGACCUGGUGCCUUCAUCCCCUCCUUCCAGCUGAGACAGACGUUGGCCAGGAUGCUGAGCUCAGCACGGCACAAGCUGUGCACUGCUAGCUCACUGCCAGCCACGGGGGUGGGAGUGGCAUGGACCGUGGCUUUGCCAGAAAUACCAUUUCUCAAGCGGCCCCAUGGCAAGGUUACAGAGUUGGCUCCAAAACAGUGUCUUGCGCGCACAUUCACCUCCACUGGUAACAGUGGAUCUUUGGAUUGGUGGCAUCGGAAUGAGGUUGCGUUGUCUUGAAGGCAGUGGGGAUGUCCCUUUUGUCCUUUCUGAUGUCACAAGCUGCAGCCUCAGGCUGGAAAGAUCUCCCUUAACAUAUCUGAACACGUAUUCAAAUCUAGUAUCCUCGAUGACAGGAUGAAACUGCCCCCAAAAUCUCAACCCGGGACAUGGGGCGAGCAGGUUUUAGCUGCUCAGGGAACUGGUUAGUGAGGUCCCCUGGGAAACUGCGUUUUGAAGACGUGGGAAUCCAUUACUGCUGGCCAUGAGUGGGAGGACCACGACUGAGGUAAUGAUCAGCUCUCAGCAUUGUCUUCCCCAUGCUGAACAGGCCCAGCUCUCUCAGCCUUCCCUCGCUGCAGCGAUGUUCCCAGCCCGACAUCAAAUCCGCAGCCCUUCGUUACGCUCCCUCUGGCAGCUCCGUGCCUUUCUAGGGCUGGGAAGUGCAGAAUCACGCUCAGCACUGCAGAUGUGGUGAGGAUGCCAUCAUCACCCCAUGGGGAUGUGCUGAGGUCAGGGCUGGCCCCGGGGAGCUGAGCCCACCUUUGGAGGGGGAAGCACCCUGGGCUCCCAAAGGGAGAGGAGACAAACAAAGGGGUCCAUACAGCAGACAAACAAAGCAGUUUCAUAGUCCAAAAAUUUUAUUUAGGCAUCAAAACUACUAAGUCCUUAUUGGAUUAUGAUGUAGUGAUAUGUUUUAAAUUAUUCCUGGAUUUUCCCCUUUCUUAGAAAAAAAAUAUUUAAUUUAAAUAAGUUAAAUAGAAUAAAUUUUGUGUAGAAGAAGAUUCA